RNAcentral lists this ribosomal RNA (469 nucleotides) under Photorhabdus luminescens. Its description in RNAcentral is "bacterial SSU rRNA". It matches the Rfam family "Bacterial small subunit ribosomal RNA", at positions 45 to 501 of the family's 1533-position model. The record is from RNAcentral. Lineage: Bacteria; Pseudomonadati; Pseudomonadota; Gammaproteobacteria; Enterobacterales; Morganellaceae.
GGCCUAACACAUGCAAGUCGAGCGGUAACAGGAAAGUGCUUUCACUUUUGCUGACGAGCGGCGGACGGGUGAGUAAUGUCUGGGGAUCUGCCCGAGGGCGGGGGAUAACCACUGGAAACGGUGGCUAAUACCGCAUAAUGUCGCGAGACCAAAGUGGGGGACCUGAAAGGGCCUCACGCCCUCGGAUGAACCCAGAUGGGAUUAGCUAGUCGGUAGGGUAAUGGCCUACCGAGGCGACGAUCCCUAGCUGGUCUGAGAGGAUGACCAGCCACACUGGGACUGAGACACGGCCCAGACUCCUACGGGAGGCAGCAGUGGGGAAUAUUGCACAAUGGGCGCAAGCCUGAUGCAGCCAUGCCGCGUGUAUGAAGAAGGCCUUCGGGUUGUAAAGUACUUUCAGCGGGGAGGAAGGGUUUAGCCUGAACAGGGUUGAAUUUUGACGUUACCCGCAGAAGAAGCACCGGCUAAC